This 1307-nucleotide ribosomal RNA is filed under the name Megarafonus sp. DDM1599. RNAcentral's name for it is "partial 28S ribosomal RNA". It matches the Rfam family "Eukaryotic large subunit ribosomal RNA", at positions 64 to 1118 of the family's 3401-position model. The record is from RNAcentral. Lineage: Eukaryota; Metazoa; Arthropoda; Insecta; Coleoptera; Staphylinidae.
ACUAACUAGGAUUCCCUUAGUAGCUGCGAGCGAAACGGGAAAAGCCCACACUAAGUCCCCAAGUCGGAAACGGCUUGCGGGAGAUGCGGUGUAUAGGGCGGCCCACUUCGGCGCGUAGUCACGUAUAGUCCAAGUCCUUCUUGAAGGGGGCCGAAUCACCCAUAGAGGGUGCCAGGCCCGUAGGAUCGUUCCUUGCGUCGAAAGGGCUCGUACUCAGAGUCGAGUAGCUUGAGAGUGCUGCUCUAAUAGGGUGGUAAGAUCCAUCUAAGGCUAAAUAUGACCACGAGACCGAUAGAGAACAAGUACCAUGAGGGAAAGUUGAAAAGAACUUUGAAGAGAGAGUUCAAUAGUACGUGAAACCGUUCAGGAGUAAACCCGAGAGAGUUGAUUAUUCGAAAGGGGAGAGACAGCCGGCACGCUUUGGCGUACUCUGCGACCGCGACGGGGUAAGUGUUUCCAGAUAGUGUUCGCACUUGGCUAGGGGCUCUCGUCCGGUUGCUUUGUAUGCAGAUCUUAGUAUGUCGGUGCAUUUCUGCCCUCAGUAGAACGUCGCGUCCGUCGGCGAGUUGGUCGGUGGCCCGAGAACACAAGUUCGUUCGUUUCGAUUAAUUUCGACUCGGGCGAAGUCUCGGUGACCUGGCCAGCCAUCCGACGGACUAAGUAGGUCCGGACUGGGCUGUGGCUCUGAGACUGCUCCCCGUUUCGUACGGGGUGGUCAAAGGGGUCUGCUCAUAAGGAUUAUUGCGGCGCUGUUGUUUUGACAAUCUCGGGANNNNNNNNNNNNNNNNNNNNNNNNNNNNNAGCAUGUGGGCGAGCCAUUGGGUUUUACGAAACCCAAAGGCGUAGCGAAAUCAAAGGCGAGUUCGAAAGAGCAGCCAUGGGAUGAUGGGCGGCUGAAAAGUCGCCUCGCAAUCCCGGGGUGUCUCGUUCUCAUUGCGAGAUGAGGCGCCCUCAGAGUCCACACGCUGGGACCCGAAAGAUGUUGAACUAUGCUUGGGGAGGACGAAGCCAGGGGAAACCCUGGUGGAGGUCCGUAGCGAUUCUGACGUGCAAAUCGAUCGUCAAAUCUGAGUAUAGGGGCGAAAGACCAAUCGAAUUAUCUAGUAGCUGGUUCCCUCUGAAGUUUCCCUCAGGAUAGCGGGCAUAAAAACUUAGAGAAAUAUAAAUAUAUAUAUAGAAAGCAUAGUCACAUGCGGUAAAGCGAAUGAUUAGAGGUAUUGGGGUCGAAACGGCCUCAACCUAUUCUCAAACUUUAAAUGUGUGGGAUCUCCGGCUUACUGGGGCUGAAGCCGGUGAUCGGAUAUAGA